GAACUCUAAGGAGACGCCGGGGACAAACCGGAGGAAGGUGGGGACGACGUCAAGUCAUCAGGGCCCUUACGACCUGGGCUACACACGUGCUACAAUGGUCGGUACAAAGGGCAGCGAAGCCGCGAGGUGAAGCCAAUCCCAGAAAACCGAUCGUAGUCCGGAUUGGANACUCGACUCCAUGAAGUCGGAUCGCUAGUAAUCGCGAAUCANAUGUCGCGGAAA
Molecule: ribosomal RNA, 222 nt
Filed under: uncultured bacterium
Lineage: Bacteria
Description: partial 16S ribosomal RNA
Rfam family: Bacterial small subunit ribosomal RNA
Source: RNAcentral